Long non-coding RNA from Ornithodoros turicata, 459 nucleotides. RefSeq lists it as uncharacterized. The record is from RefSeq and is a predicted model, not a curated record. The transcript has 3 exons. NCBI's taxonomy places the organism in Eukaryota, Metazoa, Arthropoda, Arachnida, Ixodida, Argasidae.
CCUCACCAACUUGAGAUACGUGGCGCAAUCGCGCGUCCCAAAAACUGAUAGGGAUUAUCACGGCAGACCACAGACGCAGAUUGUGCGCAUUGGCAAAGGGAGAUUCGGACGGCUUGGGCGGCCGAGUUCAAUACUCGAUUAUUUCAUCAUCAUAUUCAGCUACAGACGUGACGAUACCCACAGCUGUGAGGCCAACAACGGCAAGCUGUUACCAUCACCACCACCACCGCUUGAUCAUAUUGGCUUGAGGCAAAGUCAGUGGAUGGAAUAAACCCGUUGUCAAUGCUUUCUCUGCCUGCGGAAAUUCAACUUGCCAAACGUAGAAAAACACACGGGGAAUAUUGGUUGCCAUUUCACACGGCGAAAGGGACCGUUAUCUCCGCUACAUUUGUUUCGAUUUCCUUCUGGAUACGAGCUGAUACAACCUGUGUGCAUGCUGGUGAUCCUGUUCAUCCUGUU